GACGAACGCUGGCGGCGUGCUUAACACAUGCAAGUCGAACGGAAAGGCCCUGCUUUUGUGGGGUGCUCGAGUGGCGAACGGGUGAGUAACACGUGAGUAACCUGCCCUUGACUUUGGGAUAACUUCAGGAAACUGGGGCUAAUACCGGAUAGGAGCUCCUGCUGCAUGGUGGGGGUUGGAAAGUUUCGGCGGUGGGGGAUGGACUCGCGGCUUAUCAGCUUGUUGGUGGGGUAGUGGCUUACCAAGGCUUUGACGGGUAGCCGGCCUGAGAGGGUGACCGGCAACAUUGGGACUGAGAUACGGCCCAGACUCCUCCGGGAGGCAGCGGUGGGGAAUAUUGCACAAUGGGCGGAAGCCUGAUGCAGCAACGCCGCGUGCGGGAUGACGGCCUUCGGGUUGUAAACCGCUUUCGCAUGUGACGAAGCGUGAGUGACGGUAAUGGGUAAAGAAGCACCGGCUAACUACGUG
This 468-nucleotide ribosomal RNA is filed under the name uncultured bacterium. Its description in RNAcentral is "partial 16S ribosomal RNA". It matches the Rfam family "Bacterial small subunit ribosomal RNA", at positions 28 to 507 of the family's 1533-position model. The record is from RNAcentral.